RNAcentral lists this ribosomal RNA (253 nucleotides) under uncultured bacterium. Its description in RNAcentral is "partial 16S ribosomal RNA". It matches the Rfam family "Bacterial small subunit ribosomal RNA", at positions 524 to 776 of the family's 1533-position model. The record is from RNAcentral.
UACGUAGGUGGCAAGCGUUGUCCGGAAUUAUUGGGCGUAAAGCGCGCGCAGGCGGUCCUUUAAGUCUGAUGUGAAAGCCCACGGCUCAACCGUGGAGGGUCAUUGGAAACUGGGGGACUUGAGUGCAGAAGAGGAGAGCGGAAUUCCACGUGUAGCGGUGGAAUGCGCAGAUAUCAGGAAGAACACCCGUGGCGAAGGCGGCUCUCUGGAACGCAACUGACGCUGAGACGCGAAAGCGUGGGGAGCAAACAGG